AGUGAACGCUGGCGGUAGGCCUAACACAUGCAAGUCGAACGGCAGCACAGUAAGAGCUUGCUCUUACGGGUGGCGAGUGGCGGACGGGUGAGGAAUGCAUCGGAAUCUACUUUUUCGUGGGGGAUAACGUAGGGAAACUUACGCUAAUACCGCAUACGACCUACGGGUGAAAGCAGGGGAUCUUCGGACCUUGCGCGAUUGAAUGAGCCGAUGUCGGAUUAGCUAGUUGGCGGGGUAAAGGCCCACCAAGGCGACGAUCCGUAGCUGGUCUGAGAGGAUGAUCAGCCACACUGGAACUGAGACACGGUCCAGACUCCUACGGGAGGCAGCAGUGGGGAAUAUUCGACAAUGGGCGCAAGCCUGAUCCAGCCAUACCGCGUGGGUGAAGAAGGCCUUCGGGUUGUAAAGCCCUUUUGUUGGGAAAGAAAAGCAGCAGGUUAAUACCCCGCUGUUCUGACGGUACCCAAAGAAUAAGCACCGGCUAACUUCGUG
Molecule: ribosomal RNA, 492 nt
Filed under: uncultured bacterium
Lineage: Bacteria
Description: partial 16S ribosomal RNA
Rfam family: Bacterial small subunit ribosomal RNA
Source: RNAcentral